ACUUGUACAGACUUUCUGGCUGGAAUUUCAAAACUGGCUUCAUUCAAACAUAUAUCAAUGCAGCCUUUGACUGUGAUCUCAAUUAAGGUUGGAGUAUUGUUGAAGGAAAAGAUCCUAGACUUUUUGAUAAAUAAUUUCAUUACUUUGUGCAAAUACUAUAUUCACAGAUGUAAGUAUUUAAAGGUUAAACCUCACUUCAGCGGAUGGAAGAAUGAACUAAAGAUAUUUACAAAGUCUCUUCAUUACAUGAUGGACAGGAACGCCCAGAAACUCUUAUAUGCUUUUAACUUGUUUUUGCUGUUAGAAUAAGACCCUCAACCUUCUUUUUCUUUCCCUUUUUUAUUCUGUUUUAUCUUAUUGUGUGAUUAUUGUUUGUUGUUUUUUUUCUCGCUCUCUCAUCUUUUUUCUUUCUUUUUGGCUGUAUCAACACGAAUAAUAUGUGUUCAGUUGUUGAAAUAGGCUGUAAAGGUUUGUAAUUGUAUUUGGUACCUUAAUAUUAAAAAAAAAAACAAAAAACUUGCUUUUCUGAAAUGAGACAGCCUCGUUGACGUAUGCAGCCUUCUAAAUGAGACACAGCUAUAAUCUACUCUAAAUAAUGGAUUUUAGAAUAUUGGCCUAAAAAUCGAAUAUGACAUUUUGAUUUUUUAACUAAGCUGUGACCCGGAAGUUCACGCGCCGGGACGAAUGGAAACGGAAGAGUGCGGAUGCCAAAUUAAGUCGCGAAACUUCCUUCAAGCAAGUCAUGGAUACAUACACGCUUUUCAAGGGUCCUCAGAGGGUAACUUUAAAGGACGAAGACAUGACAACUGAUAGGAUUGGUCGUAUAUUUCAGAGGACACUACGAAGUUCACGGAGAUUCUGCCGAGGUGCAGUCACCGGACUCAAGUGUUCGACCCACUGCUGGAUCUGGGUCUGUGCGCUUUGCAUUUCAGCGACCCAGUGCGGCCGCUGGUUUUGCUUCGCAGGCAUCUUUGUCUGCGCCACGGGCCAGUAUGUCAAAACCUUUUCAACGGAAUGUUUUUCUUGCUGAUCUGGUUGGUGGAAAAUGGACACCCCAGAAGACUGUGGCGAUCCGUUUUCAUGAACAUGAGGCAUCAGUUCCUGGUAUCUUGGCAAAAGUCCAAGAUGCUAUUGGAUCAGAAGAUGGUAUGAUACUGACUGAUGGCCAGGGGAAUGAAAUUCUCGAUACAGAGGGAACAAAAGGUAACUGCAAAAGAUGAGAUUGACUACAAGCUGCUUUAAAAAAAUCUAAGAAAAACACAAUGAAAACACCAGUAAGGUCAGAGAAAUGUAAUACCAGUUGAUUAAAAAAAAAAGUUCUAUACACCUAAACAAUAUAAAUAUGAUUUUAAUCAUAUAAAAACAAUAUAAAUAUGAUAUAAUUAUCAGGUUCUAAUCCCAAGAACUGCCAGAGGUUGCACAGGCCAUCAGAGGCUUAUCUGAGCUGACGUUGGCACACAGACGUUUUAUUACAUUCACGGACGAAGAACGUGCAGCUAUUAAAAAUGCAUUUGCUUGCAUAAUUUGCAAAGGUUUGUUAACAAGAUAAUUUAGUCUCUAUAAGAUUUGUUGAUAGCCAGGAUAGUAUUUUGUGAAUUAAACUGUAAUACUUUCCUCUCUUCUCUUUGGAUUAAGAUCCCAGAAAUAUUAUGAAAAAACUAACAAGUAAUUUUAUUUAUUUUAAAUUUCUAGGGCCCAUGAAUGAUCCUGUUUUUGCAGUUUGCUGUCAGAGUCUCAUUGCAUGCAAAGUGUGCUUUGACCAGUGGCAGCGAAAUGCCAACACCUGUGUGAAAUGCAGAGGAGACAACUCAAGGGAAAACACCUACAGAGUCACAGGAAUUGAUGGUGCAUUGUCUGCUUUUGGUGAUCUUAUCAAAGAUUAAAUACAGUGGGAAUAAAAGCUGUAUACCUGUUACA
Cyprinus carpio (common carp) is the source of this 1917-nucleotide long non-coding RNA. NCBI's taxonomy places the organism in Eukaryota, Metazoa, Chordata, Actinopteri, Cypriniformes, Cyprinidae. The record is from Ensembl.